This 139-nucleotide ribosomal RNA is filed under the name uncultured eukaryote. RNAcentral's name for it is "partial 18S ribosomal RNA". It matches the Rfam family "Eukaryotic small subunit ribosomal RNA", at positions 1299 to 1458 of the family's 1831-position model. The record is from RNAcentral.
UGGUGGGUUGCCUUGUCAGGUUGAUUCCGGUAACGAACGAGACCUCAGCCUGCUAAAUAGUCACGAUCGCUUUUUGCGGUCGGUUGACUUCUUAGAGGGACUAUUGGCGUUUAGUCAAUGGAAGUAUGAGGCAAUAACA